GGAAUAUUGGACAAUGGGCGCAAGCCUGAUCCAGCCAUGCCGCGGGUUUGAAGAAGGCCUUCGGGUUGUAAAGCACUUUGGUUGGGGAAGAAAAGACCGGGGUUAAUAACCCUGGUUCAUGACGGUACCCAAAGAAUAAGCACCGGCUAACUUCGUGCGAGCAGCCGCGGUAAUACGAAGGGUGCAAGCGUUACUAGGAAUUACUGGGCGUAAAGCGUGCGUAGGCGGUUUGUUAAGUCUGUCGUGAAAGCCCCGGGCUCAAGCUGGGAAUGGCGGUGGAUACUGGCAGGCUAGAGUACGGUAGAGGAUGGUGGAAUUCCCGGUGUAGCAGUGAAAUGCGUAGAGAUCGGGAGGAACAUCUAUGGCGAAGGCAGCCAUCUGGACCAGUACUGACGCUGAGGCACGAAAGCGUGGGGAGCAAAC
Molecule: ribosomal RNA, 423 nt
Filed under: uncultured bacterium
Lineage: Bacteria
Description: bacterial SSU rRNA
Rfam family: Bacterial small subunit ribosomal RNA
Source: RNAcentral